Molecule: ribosomal RNA, 406 nt
Filed under: uncultured bacterium
Lineage: Bacteria
Description: partial 16S ribosomal RNA
Rfam family: Bacterial small subunit ribosomal RNA
Source: RNAcentral
AUUGAACGCUGGCGGCAGGCUUAACACAUGCAAGUCGAGCGCGCGCCGGACGGGUGAGUAAUGUCCGGGACACUCCCUGACGUUGGUGGAUAACUACUGUAAACGGUAGCUAAUACCGCAUACCAUCAGAUGUGCCCAGAUGGGUUUAGAUAGUGGGUGGGGUAAGGGAUCACCUAGGCAACGAUCCCUAGCUGGUCUGUGAGGAUGACCAGCCACACUGGAACUGAGCCACGAUCCAGACCCCUACGGGAGGCAGCAGUGGGGAGUAUUACACAGUGGGCGCAAGCCUAGUGCGACCAUGCCAAGUGUAUGAAAAAGUCCUUCGGGUUGUAAAGUACUUUCAGCGGGGAAGCGGUACCCGAUGAAGAAGGACCGGCUAACUCCGUGCCAGCAGCCGCGGUAAUUC